Molecule: ribosomal RNA, 431 nt
Filed under: Promicromonospora sukumoe
Lineage: Bacteria; Bacillati; Actinomycetota; Actinomycetes; Micrococcales; Promicromonosporaceae
Description: bacterial SSU rRNA
Rfam family: Bacterial small subunit ribosomal RNA
Source: RNAcentral
GACGAACGCUGGCGGCGUGCUUAACACAUGCAAGUCGAACGGUGAAGCCCAGCUUGCUGGGUGGAUCAGUGGCGAACGGGUGAGUAACACGUGAGCAACCUGCCCUCCACUUCGGGAUAAGCCUUGGAAACGGGGUCUAAUACCGGAUAUGAGUGCCUGCUGCAUGGUGGGUGCUGGAAAGUUUUUCGGUGGGGGAUGGGCUCGCGGCCUAUCAGCUUGUUGGUGGGGUAAUGGCCUACCAAGGCGUCGACGGGUAGCCGGCCUGAGAGGGCGACCGGCCACACUGGGACUGAGACACGGCCCAGACUCCUACGGGAGGCAGCAGUGGGGAAUAUUGCACAAUGGGCGAAAGCCUGAUGCAGCGACGCCGCGUGAGGGAUGACGGCCUUCGGGUUGUAAACCUCUUUCAGCAGGGAAGAAGCGCAAGUGAC